UCCCUGGUGGCGCAGACGGUAAAGCGUCUGCCUGCAAUGCAGGAGACCUGGGUUCGAUUCCUGGGUUGGGAA
This is a non-coding RNA of Bos taurus (domestic cattle), 72 nucleotides long. The record is from Rfam. Lineage: Eukaryota; Metazoa; Chordata; Mammalia; Artiodactyla; Bovidae.